Molecule: unclassified non-coding RNA, 305 nt
Filed under: plant metagenome
Description: partial contains 5.8S ribosomal RNA, internal transcribed spacer 2, and large subunit ribosomal RNA
Rfam family: 5.8S ribosomal RNA (bases 1-105)
Source: RNAcentral
GAAAUGCGAUAAGUAGUGUGAAUUGCAGAAUUCAGUGAAUCAUCGAAUCUUUGAACGCACAUUGCGUCCUUUGGUAUUCCUUAGGGCAUGCCUGUUCGAGCGUCAUCUAAACCUUCAAGCCCUGCUUGGUGUUGGGUGCCUGUCCCGCCUCCGCGCGCGGACUCACCUCAAAUCCAUUGGCGGCCCCCGCGUCGGCCACGAGCGCAGCAGAAACGCGAACUCGUGAGCCCGUCCGGGCGGCUCCCAGAAGCUACACCCACCCAGUUUGACCUCGGAUCAGGUAGGGAUACCCGCUGAACUUAAGC